This 1324-nucleotide unclassified non-coding RNA is filed under the name Anneissia japonica. RNAcentral's name for it is "uncharacterized LOC117104711, transcript variant X1". Lineage: Eukaryota; Metazoa; Echinodermata; Crinoidea; Comatulida; Comatulidae. The record is from RNAcentral.
AUUCAAAAAUAGGUAUGAUAGUAUAAAUUCGAUGGAAUUGUGAUAAUACAGAAGAGAGAAGAAGCCAAUUAAUGUUCGAUGUGGGCGCAUCGAACAAGAUUUGAGUGGUGUUCUGGCAGAGCUAACCCGCUCAAAUUUGCAAUGGUUGUGCAUACCAGUACAAACUAGUUUAUCUGCUGAAAAAUUAAAAAGGAAUCAUAAUACGUACAGAAAACGUCGUAGCUACUAACGCAGUUAUAAACAAUUCACAUUUGCUACAACUAUUUGAAGGCAUAAUGAAACGAACAUAGUCACAUGCAAAAGUACUAUGCAGGCCUACCUUAAUAAGCAUAUUGAAACAACGUAAUUUGCGCUCUGUCAACAGAGGCGCUAGCUAUCAGUUAGUAAGGUAGGCCUAUGUCUAUUUUAUGAGCCCUCUCACUUUUUGAAAGUUGGUGGGUAGGUGGCGUCCUCAACAAGACAAGCGACUGAAAAAGGUGUUCAGUAGUGAUAAUGAAACCAACAUAGUAUCAUGCAAUAAUACUGUACAGGCCUAAAUUAGUAAGCAAAUUUGAAACUACGUUAUUUCCAACCUGUUAACUGAGCCGCUAGAUCUAUCAGGUAGUAAGGAAACAGUGAAUUCACAAAGCCAGAAUUUAAACAGAAAACGUGAAGAUUACAUAAUCAUUAUACAUUGGCAGAAAAAAAAAGCAAGAGUAUUCUUUAAAGCGUAUAGUGAACAAUCUUUUAAUUAUGCUAUUAUUUUUUCUUAUUUAUAUUUGUGCUUUACGUCACAUAGAUGGUGUAAUUACAGUCACUAUGGCACCACAAAAAAUGUGUGUUCUAGAAAAAGAUUAUAAUGUUGAUUUCAAUUGCACCAUUCAACCACCUAGCGCGGAUAAUGCUGAACACAAGAUGAAAUGGUUUUUUCAAAGUGAACUAAUUAAUUUUGAUGACGAAACAGUUCUAGAUAACGGUGUAACAAUAAAAAAAUACAAAGAACUGAACAAUAAACUAAGCAUAAGGAAUAUCGAACGUCGAGACGAAGGCCAUUACAAAUGUCAAGUUGAAAAGACAGCUGUCGAAGACAUUGGUGAGCUGACAGUGGGUAAUUGUCUAGACGAAAACCCCUUCGUAAGAUGUGACAUGACUCUUUCCAACUCAACGUCACGUACAGAUCGUAACAACAUAACGAUGAUUGCCGGACACAUUCUUCAUGUAAAUAUAUCUUGCAAGGACUUUUAUUGGCAACAAUGUUUUAGUCAACAUUAGAAUAAUAAAUGUUGCUAACCAUAGCAUUGCAUCUGCACUUCCUGUCUAUUCUCACGUUGAAGAACAGUCCAGU